GCCCUUAGAGUUUGAUCCUGGCUCAGGAUGAACGCUAGCGACAGGCUUAACACAUGCAAGUCGAGGGGUAACAGGGUGUAGCAAUACACCGCUGACGACCGGCGCACGGGUGAGUAACGCGUAUGCAACCUGCCUUUGACAGAGGGAUAGCCCAUGGAAACGUGGAUUAAUACCUCAUAGUCUCUUUUUCCUUCCUGGGGAAUAGAGUAAAACGAGAGUGGUCAAAGAUGGGCAUGCGUCCUAUUAGGCAGUUGGCGGGGUAACGGCCCACCAAACCGAUGAUAGGUAGGGGUUCUGAGAGGAAGGUCCCCCACACUGGUACUGAGACACGGACCAGACUCCUACGGGAGGCAGCAGUGAGGAAUAUUGGUCAAUGGUCGAGAGACUGAACCAGCCAAGUCGCGUGAGGGACGACUGCCCUAUGGGUUGUAAACCUCUUUUCUACUGGGAGAAUAAGCCUUAUGUAUAAGGUGAUGACAGUACAGUAGGAAUAAGCAUCGGCUAACUCCGUGCCAGCAGCCGCGGUAAUACGGAGGAUGCGAGCGUUAUCCGGAUUUAUUGGGUUUAAAGGGUGCGUAGGCGGCUUUAUAAGUUAGUGGUAAAAUUUCGGAGCUUCACUCCGGUCCGCCAUUAAAACUGUAGAGCUAGAGAAUGGACGAGGUAGGCGGAAUAAGUUAAGUAGCGGUGAAAUGCAUAGAUAUAACUUAGAACUCCGAUAGCGAAGGCAGCUUACCAGACCAUAACUGACGCUGAUGCACGAGAGCGUGGGUAGCGAACAGGAUUAGAUACCCUGGUAGUCCACGCCGUAAACGAUGCUCACCGGCCCUUAGCGAUAAGACAGUUAGGGGUUAAUUGAAAGAGUUAAGUGAG
This 870-nucleotide ribosomal RNA is filed under the name uncultured Bacteroidota bacterium. Its description in RNAcentral is "bacterial SSU rRNA". It matches the Rfam family "Bacterial small subunit ribosomal RNA", at positions 1 to 868 of the family's 1533-position model. Lineage: Bacteria; Pseudomonadati; Bacteroidota. The record is from RNAcentral.